RNAcentral lists this unclassified non-coding RNA (304 nucleotides) under Hevea brasiliensis (rubber tree). Lineage: Eukaryota; Viridiplantae; Streptophyta; Magnoliopsida; Malpighiales; Euphorbiaceae. The record is from RNAcentral.
AUGUUAACUACACCAGCGGCCCCCUGGGAAAUCAAGCUUCUCUUCCAUAUUUUGUAUCAUAACAAUAUAUUUUGGAUUAAUGCUUUGGUAAAUUAUUGUGUCAACUGAGAACUGCUUUGGUAAGGGACAAAAACUGGAGCACAUCUAUAUAUACACACAUGCAAAACAAGGAUAUUGUCUUUCAUCUUCAUGAUUUCACUCUAACCAUAAGCAUUAGAUGGACAUUUCUCUUGAAUAUCGUUCUCAACUCUUCAUUUGCCUCGAUACCUAUUCUCCCUAUUUUGGAACCAUUCUUUCCUACGAG